This 489-nucleotide ribosomal RNA is filed under the name uncultured bacterium. Its description in RNAcentral is "partial 16S ribosomal RNA". It matches the Rfam family "Bacterial small subunit ribosomal RNA", at positions 30 to 506 of the family's 1533-position model. The record is from RNAcentral.
AUUGAACGCUGGCGGCAGGCCUAACACAUGCAAGUCGAACGGUAACAGGGAUCCGCUUGCUGAUUCGCUGACGAGUGGCGGACGUGUGUGUAAUGUCUGGGAAACUGCCGGAUGGAGGGGGAUCACUACUGGAAACGGUAGCUAAUACCGCAUAACGUCGCAAGCCCAAAGAGGGGGACCUUCGGGCCUCUUUCCAUCGGAUGUGCCCAGAUGGGAUUAGCUAGUAGGUGGGGUAACGGCUCACCUAGGCGACGCUCGCAAGCUGGUCUGAGAGGAUGACCAGCCACACUGGAACUGAGACACGGUCCAAACUCCUACGGGAGGCAGCGGUGGGAAUUAUUGCACAGUGGGCGCAAGCCUGAUGCAGCCAUGCCGCGGGUAUGAAGAAGGCCUUCGGUUUGUAAAGUACUUUCAGCGGGGAGGAAGGGAGUGAGGUUAAUACCUUUGCUCAUUGACGUUACCCGCAGAAGAAGCACCGGCAAACUCGUU